This 253-nucleotide ribosomal RNA is filed under the name uncultured bacterium. RNAcentral describes it as "partial 16S ribosomal RNA". It matches the Rfam family "Bacterial small subunit ribosomal RNA", at positions 524 to 776 of the family's 1533-position model. The record is from RNAcentral.
UACGUAGGGGGCAAGCGUUGUCCGGAAUCAUUGGGCGUAAAGCGCGUGUAGGCGGCUUGGUAAGUCCGCUCUGAAAGCCCGGGGCUCAACCCCGGGAGGCGGGUGGAUACUGUCAAGCUCGAGUCCGGAAGAGGCGAGUGGAAUUCCUGGUGUAGAGGUGAAAUGCGUAGAUAUCGAGAGGAACACCUGCGGCGAAGGCGGGUUGCUGGGCCGACACUGACGCUGAUGCGCGAAAGCCAGGGGAGCGAACGGG